This 253-nucleotide ribosomal RNA is filed under the name uncultured bacterium. Its description in RNAcentral is "partial 16S ribosomal RNA". It matches the Rfam family "Bacterial small subunit ribosomal RNA", at positions 524 to 776 of the family's 1533-position model. The record is from RNAcentral.
UACGAAGGGGGCUAGCGUUGUUCGGAAUUACUGGGCGUAAAGCGCACGUAGGCGGACAUUUAAGUCGGGGGUGAAAUCCCGGGGCUCAACCUCGGAAUUGCCUUCAAUACUGGGUGUCUUGAGUUCGAGAGGGGUGAGUGGAAUUCCGAGUGUAGAGGUGAAAUUCGUAGAUAUUCGGAAGAACACCAGUGGCGAAGGCGACUCACUGGCUCGAUACUGACGCUGAGGUGCGAAAGCGUGGGGAGCAAACAGG